UUCGUAGGCGGUGUGGCAAGUUGGGAGUGAAAUCUCUGGGCUCAACCCAGAGGCUGCUUACCAAAACUGCUGUGCUUGAGUGUGAGAGAGGCUCGUGGAAUUGCAGGUGUAGCGGUGAAAUGCGUAGAUAUCUGCAGGAACACCCGUGGCGAAAGCGGCGAGCUGGAUCACUACUGACGCUGAGGAACGAAAGCUAGGGGAGCAAACAGGAUUAGAUACCCUGGUAGUCCUAGCCCUAAACGAUCAGGACUUGGGGUGCCGCCCGUUCGGGCGUCGUCCCGGAGCUAACGCGUUAAGUCCUGCACCUGGGGAGUACGGUCGCAGACUGAA
Molecule: ribosomal RNA, 330 nt
Filed under: uncultured bacterium
Lineage: Bacteria
Description: bacterial SSU rRNA
Rfam family: Bacterial small subunit ribosomal RNA
Source: RNAcentral